ACGUGAUUACUCGGCAGCCAUUUUGAUCUCGAAGAGGAGAAAGUGCAGUAAUUUCUCCGGUUAAAAACGCUAACUUUUAGAGUUCAGCCAUGUCGGAACCAGAGCCAGGGACAUACAAAGUGGCCACGGUGAAGACAGCACCAUUUGAUGCCCGUUUCCCCAACACGAACCAGGCGAGGUACUGCUGGCAGGGUUACAUUGACUUCCAACGCUGCACCAACAUACGCGGCGAGGACUACGAACCCUGUCAGUACUUCAGGCAUGUCUACCGCUCAAUGUGCCCCAAAUCUUGGAUAGAGCUGUGGGAUGAGCAGCGUGAGGUUGGCACAUUCGCUGGGAAGGUCUGAUGCUGCCUCAUCAGAGGACCAUCCUGAAACCAUCCUUCCUGCUGUGUUCUUUAAUGUCAUACUAGAGGAUAUUGUUGUUUAAGUGCCCCUUAAUGUCUACUCAAACCAGAGGAACUAAACCAUAUUGUACACUGAUCCAGACAACACACCUGAGUGAAAUGUUUUAAAUAGAAAUAUGCAGCCUUGACUAUGGAAGGAUGAGGAUCACUAUUGAGUAAAGUGCACACCUCUGUUCAAUGGCAGCAACAGAAAUGUCAGAAAGGUUGUAGUGUCUACUCGAUGUUAGCACUGUGAUAUCCCAACCGUUUGCACAAAGUACAACAAAUGUGACCAAUAGUUACCUUUAAUUCCAAUGUCAAGCCAAACUGGAUGAUAACUCUCAAUUUGGUGUGUCAUUGCCAAUACAACCAGUAGAGUGGCAUAUCAACUUAUUAAUAAGUGUAUGGAUAUGAAUAAAGAGUUGGAAAAUCCA
Molecule: long non-coding RNA, 819 nt
Organism: Branchiostoma belcheri (Belcher's lancelet)
Lineage: Eukaryota; Metazoa; Chordata; Leptocardii; Amphioxiformes; Branchiostomatidae
Exons: 3
Source: RefSeq, a predicted model, not a curated record